GAUGACUUCCGCUACUCUACCCAUGCUCUGCAUCAGAGCGGAAAAAAAAAGAAUGUAAACAAAAGCCCGCUCAAACUUAGUUGUGCAAAACGUGGGCAAGGGUCUUUUCAGUUCUGUCAAGAUGCCCGCCACUACCACCGCAGUUCUCCCUCGCCACCGUCACCGAGAGAGUGCCAGGUCGGUCGUCCAGAGACUCCAUGCGAUUCCGGUACAGCUGUUGCCCCCGCACGUGUUCAAGCUACAGCACGCCGCCAGCAGUUGCGAUUCUGGCACGGGCAAAGAUGCACCUUCCGUUUCGCCGGCAGCAGAGUUCGAUGCUACCGCGGCUGCCGACGAGGGCACCACAGGCGACGCGUGCGCUGAGCUGGGCAUGAAUUCCGUCUGCUUGGUUACCACUGCCGCUGCCGCCGCGCCGUCAUCGACGCGUGCAUCCGCGACUGGCGAGGGAGCGCUCAUCUCUUCUUUUGCUUCACCAGCGGCUGAGCAGCGCUUGGCCUACGAGGUGGCCGCCGCACACGCGCUGCGCGGCGGUCGUGUACUGUUCCUCAACGCCCCGACGAGUCAAGCCUUCUCGCUGGCAAGGUUUGCGGUGACCAUUGAAAGGCAGUGGAUGGCGUUGCAGCCACGGCGGCAAGAGGCACUAAGCGUGCGACAAGGCGACGCCGCAACGCUGCACGAUGCCCAAAACUUCACACAGAUGGGCUGUGCAGGGCGCACUGCCUCGUCACCAGCUUCUGCUCGCACGGCGUCGUCGGAACCGUGCUUGCAGUCGCUCAACUCCGAAGCUCAACUUCGAGCCCGUCAGCGAGCGGUGCUGGACGCUGUGCGGCGAGUAGAGGUGCUGCCUUGCACUUCCAUGGAGGACUUCUACGCCGUGUGCCAGGCCUACACGUUCCCCACCGUUACCGUAGCCGAUGGUGCUCCAGAGGCUUCGGGUCCAGAAGGCACGCCAAACUCGCCCUCCUCACGUGUGUGUGGUGUGACAUGUUCGCGCGGCAGCGGGCAGCCUAGUGCGUCGAGGGAGCCGAAGAUGAGGACCGAGUUGGUGUUUCCGUCCUCGCUGUCUUUCACGGAUUCCGGUGCGGUGACGGCCACCGCUGCUGCCGCUGCCCCCGCCUCAUCGUUGGCAGCCUUAUCCGCUGCCGCGUCGUCCCCCACGGCUGCUCGCACCUCCACGCUGCAUGAGGUGGACAUCGUACCGCUGUGUAUCGUGGACGGGUUUAUGGGGCGAAUGUCGACGUCAGCGCUGCUCGAGCGCGCGUCCGGUCAGGCCAUCCCGCUUCUGCAUUACGUGCUGUGCCUUUUGCAGCGUCGUCUCAAGUGUGCGGUGAUGUUGGUGGAGGCGGGAGGGAGCGUGGCGAGGGGUGGUGGCGCUUGCUGGCCUUCCUCCUCGUCACCGUCAGAAAGCCCGGCUUCUGUGAGCUCUCUCUCGGGCGGGCAUCCGCAGAGCCGAAGCGACGCUUGCGGUGACCUACCAUCUCCUGCGAUGGUGCUUGCCGCCUCAGACCUGGUACAGCGGCUGCGUUCCCCCCACAUGCAUCCGUCGCCAAUCGUGCCCGUCUCUCACGCCGCAUGGUCCCUGGCGCAGGUUCCGGCGGUGAGCUUCAGCGAGGUCGGCGUUGAGGUCGAGCGCCAGCCAGGAAAGAAAGCGGCGCGAGCCGAUGGCGCAGCUGCGCACACGGCGCGCACGUGGUUCUCGCAGGCACCGCCCGUCUCCCUCCAUGACGUGCAGUUAUCUGUAGCGUACGUCGAAUGCGAUUCCGUGUGGCGCCCGCUGCGGCACGGCGACCGCCACAUGGAGGCUUGCGAUGCAAGGAGCGGCGCCACUUCACGGCACGAUGAGCUCCUCCUCCCUUUCAGCGUGGCAUGGCGGUACCGUGUGCAUCUCAUGAAGACGACUGUUGGCGAAGCUGCUGGCACGCGGGCCGUCGGUACUGAUAACCUCCUGCAGAAUCGCCGGAGCAGUCCGAGUGGGCCUCUCUGGCCCCCUUCUCGUGGCUCGCGUCGGCCAUCGGGAGUGCUGACGUGCUCAUCUGGCACACCCAGCAGCAUGCAGUACACUGGUUCAUGGAUGCGGAGCUCCCAGUGGCGGUACCUGUAGAUCCUAGUAGUGGCCGCUGAGGGCUGUGACAACGGCGUUUGCGUAGUUUGUGUACGCGGAAGGGGGGUCUGUGCGUGCGUUGGUAUCUGCGUAUGUGUCUGGCUAGCCAUGACCGUCCCUGCUACUGCU
RNAcentral lists this unclassified non-coding RNA (2230 nucleotides) under Leishmania donovani. RNAcentral's name for it is "gene:LdHU3.22.0700(CDS-product:hypothetical_prote in_conserved)". The record is from RNAcentral. Lineage: Eukaryota; Euglenozoa; Kinetoplastea; Trypanosomatida; Trypanosomatidae.